Molecule: long non-coding RNA, 1465 nt
Filed under: Equus asinus (donkey)
Lineage: Eukaryota; Metazoa; Chordata; Mammalia; Perissodactyla; Equidae
Description: lncRNA (ENSEASG00005026358.1)
Source: RNAcentral
UACCACCUUGAUACCAGGAGCAUCUUGAGGUCAGCACAUUCCCCUAAAGGGUCUGUGUAGAAUGAGAGCAGCUGGAAACCACACAGAACAGGAUGCAUAAGAAAUAGGAAGUAGAAGCAUGGAAGGAGGGGAUGAUCCUCUGAAAACGAGAGACGUGUACUGGCCACAGCAAGCUUAGGAUGACGUCCAGAGUGAACGCACGGGGCUAGGAGCAAACAUUGGACUUGGUGAAUAAGGGAGGACAUGUGCAGAAAGCACCAUUCCUGGAAUGCAGUACACUGCAGCUGCUCCGAGGCAGCCAUUUGGGGCUGAGAAAGCAGCUCUCCACUGCUUCCUCCAAAGGCAGGAGCAGUCCAGUGGCGGGACUGCCCAUGAGUCUCCUCGUCAACAGACCCUGAGCCUCUGAUGUAAGAAGCCAGAUGUGAUGGAGAUAGGUAGGCUCUGCUUACUGCCUGUCACUCUGAGAGACUGGCCUUCUCUCAAGGGAGAGCUCGACGUCACCAUUGUUGGUGAGUUUCGUUUUAGUACACCAGGUGUAAAAAUAACCGCUCAUCCCAGACUGGAGGACUCGGUUUCUGGGUGCUCUUGAGAGUCAGCCUUCCUGAGUUCUCAAACAUAUUUAAUGGGAAGUUGGGAGGGGGAGAGUUAAUGACCAUGAGCACAAAUUCACUUUCAACUGCUGUUACCAUGACAAACUGUUACCAUGACAAUUUAAAAGUUAUUUUGAACCACCAAAAAGAGUCACAGUACUCAGAACUUGUGAAGCCUAGUCCCUCUCUAUGUCACAAUGAGAAGAUUAUUGGGCCAGAACUGGCUGGGGUCAGAUACGAGCAGAUGUCUGGCACCAGCAUCUUUUGGUCCAGAAGAGCGAUUGAGGACUCAGAGUCAGGAGCUUCCCUGAGUCUGAGGAAAGGGACAGGAGAAAUUAGGAGGGCUCCUUGGUUUCUGCUUGUGCUAGAACAUCCUGUAGCCACCAACCCAGAAGCCAUGGCUCAGCGUACAGAUGGAGUGCUGUGACGUCAGGGAAUCGCUUCCAAGAAAUUCAGAAGGAAAGAGGAGAACAUGAGUGUCACUGCAAGGGGACUGGAAAAGAGCUAAUGACCCUGAAGCUGGGUGAUGAGUAGUGGGAUCUAUUGUACUGGUUUUUUCUACUUUUGUGUUUCUACAAAAAGAGGCUUUUUAAAAAAAAUAAUGCUGUUAUGAGCUGAAUUGUGCCCCCCUUCCCAAAUUCAAAUGUUGAAGUCCUAACCCCCAGGACCUCAGAAUGUGACUGUAUUUGGAGACAGGGCUUUUAAAGAGGUAAUUAAGGUGAAACGAGGCCAUAGGGUGGGCCCUGAUCCAAUGUGACUGGUGUCUUUAGUAAGAGGAAAUUAGGACACAGACAUGUGCACACAGAGGAAACCUAUCUGAGAACACUGCCAGAUGGUGGGCACUCGUAAGCCAAGCAGAGAAGAUGCAGAAGAAA